Molecule: non-coding RNA, 26 nt
Filed under: Cricetulus griseus (Chinese hamster)
Lineage: Eukaryota; Metazoa; Chordata; Mammalia; Rodentia; Cricetidae
Source: RNAcentral
GCUGGUGUUGGUGAAUUUGAGGCUGG